AGAGUUUGAUCCUGGCUCAGAUUGAACGCUGGCGGCAUGCCUAACACAUGCAAGUCGAACGGUAACGCGAGGAGCUUGCUCCUUGGCGACGAGUGGCGGACGGGUGAGUAAUGCUUAGGAAUCUGCCCAUGUAGUGGGGGACGACACGAGGAAACUCGUGCUAAUACCGCAUACGCCCUAAGGGGGAAAGCGGGGGAUCUUCGGACCUCGCGCUAUUGGAUGAGCCUAAGUCGGAUUAGCUUGUUGGUGGGGUAAAGGCCUACCAAGGCUACGAUCCGUAGCUGGUCUGAGAGGACGAUCAGCCACACUGGGACUGAGACACGGCCCAGACUCCUACGGGAGGCAGCAGUGGGGAAUAUUGGACAAUGGGGGCAACCCUGAUCCAGCAAUGCCGCGUGUGUGAAGAAGGCCUGCGGGUUGUAAAGCACUUUCAGUAGAGAAGAAAAGCUUAGGGUUAAUAACCCUGGGUCUUGACGUAACCUACAGAAGAAGCACCGGCUAACUCCGUGCCAGCAGCCGCGGUAAUACGGAGGGUGCGAGCGUUAAUCGGAAUUACUGGGCGUAAAGCGCGCGUAGGCGGCUGUGUAAGUCGGAUGUGAAAGCCCAGGGCUUAACCUUGGAAUUGCAUUCGAAACUGCACGGCUAGAGUAUGGGAGAGGAAAGCGGAAUUUCCGGUGUAGCGGUGAAAUGCGUAGAUAUCGGAAGGAACAUCAGUGGCGAAGGCGGCUUUCUGGACCAAUACUGACGCUGAGGUGCGAAAGCGUGGGGAGCGAACAGGAUUAGAUACCCUGGUAGUCCACGCCGUAAACGAUGACAACUAGAUGUUGGGAGAAUUUGUCUCUCAGUGUCGCAGCUAACGCGUUAAGUUGUCCGCCUGGGGAGUACGCCGGCAACGGUAAAACUCAAAGGAAUUGACGGGGACCCGCACAAGCGGUGGAGCAUGUGGUUUAAUUCGAUGCAACGCGAAGAACCUUACCUGGCCUUGACAUCCUCAGAACUUGUAAGAGAUUACUUGGUGCCUUCGGGAACUGAGUGACAGGUGCUGCAUGGCUGUCGUCAGCUCGUGUCGUGAGAUGUUGGGUUAAGUCCCGCAACGAGCGCAACCCUUGUCCCUAGUUGCCAGCACGUAAUGGUGGGAACUCUAGGGAGACCGCCGGUGACAAACCGGAGGAAGGUGGGGGUGACGCCAAGUCAUCAUGGCCCUUAUGGCCAGGGCUACACACGUGCUACAAUGGACAGUACAGAGGGUUGCCAACCC
This 1258-nucleotide ribosomal RNA is filed under the name metagenome. Its description in RNAcentral is "bacterial SSU rRNA". It matches the Rfam family "Bacterial small subunit ribosomal RNA", at positions 8 to 1256 of the family's 1533-position model. The record is from RNAcentral.